AUCUUAACACCCAGACACAAAGUAAAGCAACCCACGAUUUAAAGCAUGCCAUGAUUUACAACAACAUAUGGAGAAGCAAAGCAGGUGAUGCUGAUAUGGAAUCAAGAAUGAAAUGAGCACAUUUCAUGCACUUGAUUGGAAAUAUUUAUGAAGGCACCCUCCACCCCCAUCUGUCUUUGAGGGAGUGCGUGUGAGAGGAGGAAAAUGUAUGCACAAAGCCAGAGCGAUGAAAAAUUGCUUGAAUAGACGGUACAUUUGCGUGAGGCCCGGACAGCAUUGUCACACGACAAGCCGACAGAGCGAAAGAUAGACGUCCGGAAAACAAACUCCAGACUCUUCAGGAGUAUGGAGCUUGAACAAAUGAGGGAUCCAACUAAUUGGCUUUUUCCAAGAAGGCGGAUUAGUGGUGAACAACGGCCGGCACAGAGUCUGUCUGUCAUUGCAGCAUGUAACUGUCUUAACCUGAGAUGCCUUUGCCACAUUUACCGAAGGUUACUUUCACAGUGCAUUUUGUGGUAAUUGAUCAAAAGGGAAAUAUAACUUGCGGCGAAACUGGCUAUUGAAAUGAUGAAAUAUACUAAUUUCAAUGGGAAGGAGGCAUAACGAUCUUUGAACUGACGAUGGUAGGUCAUCAUAAAUGAUCAAACAUUGAUUCAUUCUUUUGGGCUGGUGAUCAUUGAUGUGAUGUUAUGGUACAAAUUCCACUUUAUCGCCCUUGUUUAAUGUCAAAUGAUCCCGAACUCUGGACGUUCGCUGUCUUUUAUGUACCGUUUCCUGCCUGCUCGUUGCCAUCGCCCCAAGCGGAGUGGUGCGGGUGACUGCAGUAACCUUAGUCCCUGU
This is a long non-coding RNA of Hippocampus comes (tiger tail seahorse), 840 nucleotides long. RefSeq lists it as uncharacterized. Lineage: Eukaryota; Metazoa; Chordata; Actinopteri; Syngnathiformes; Syngnathidae. The transcript is spliced from 2 exons. The record is from RefSeq and is a predicted model, not a curated record.